Molecule: non-coding RNA, 3607 nt
Organism: Anas platyrhynchos (mallard)
Lineage: Eukaryota; Metazoa; Chordata; Aves; Anseriformes; Anatidae
Source: RefSeq, a predicted model, not a curated record
UCUUGUGUUCAUUUUCCUUGAGGCCUGGAACCAGCCAGAACGUUCCGGAACCGGCCGGAACUGGCCUCUCCUCACUGACACCCCACAGCCCCCGCUGCAAAGUUGGUGCCACAGACAUCGUGCAUAGCUGACAGUCACUUGACAAGAUUAAUUAUUUGGGGUGUUUUAGUGGUGUUUGUGAGGCCCUGGCAUGCAGAUUAAUGGCAUGGUGCCAGGUGCCAUGCAGGUGAGCCUCACCUCAACACCUCACGGUGAGUGCGAGGAGUUAGUGGGCUCGGCUCACCUGGUGAUUUCUUCAGGAGUCACCUGCAGUCUGAGCAGUUGCUGCCUUGGGAUUUAUAGCCGUGAAGUGUCUCCUACCCAUUCUUAGAAAUGAAGUUAAAUGCUAGUGACACAUUGGAAUAUGGGAAUUUUGACAUUGGCUUCUGUGAGAGUUGGCGAAGAGAAGGAGGUGGGCAAAACUCAACCAGAAGGAUGCAUCUGUUCAGGGGAGUAGCAGGAGGAGUGAAGAGAUGAGACAAAGCUGUGCUGUAUUCAUGGAGGACAAUGGAUAAACACACCACACCCAGAGAGCAAGAAGUAACUGUGCUUUUUGAGACAGAAUCUUUCCUGGAAUAUUUUAAAGGAAAGUUGGACUGGAAAAACAUGUCACAAAUACAUCAAUGUUUUGACGACUCGCUCAGUUAUUCUAUGACCCAUAAAGAAUUUGCACUAUAGCAAGAACACUAUGCCAUACAUAGCAACACUAUAGCAAGAACGCUAUGCCAUCAAUCCAAGAACAUGGUAUCACCAUAAAUUGGAAGAGCCUGUGUGGUGUGACUUGGUGAACAUGAGUUCUGCACUGACUACUUCAGUGGCUGAAAGGUGAAGCUUCAUGUGUCCAAAGUGCCCAGCAGAAAUGUCUCCCAGCAUCAGUUUGCCAACAUUUAAUCAGGAAUACUUGUGAAUAUUUUUGAAUUGUAUAUUCAUUCAUCAACAAAGCGGGAAACUAAAAGUUUUACAGGCAGCAAGCUCCACAAAGCAAGAACAUAAAUCCACUGCUACUCUUCCUAUUCUAUUCCUAUGGAUUUCAGAUUGGAAAAUGGAGGAAACUGCACUUGUACUUCAGGUGAUUCAUCGUUGCCAUAAACCCACUCCUAACGAACCAGUCUCAUUCUGCUGAUGCACGGACCAAUCCCUCAAGAUAAAAAGACAGUUCUGCAGGUAGCAUAUAAUCACAGCCAUAUCUGAGUUUCUUUCUGCCUCCAUGAUAACCUUCCCAGGGAACUCACUCGAGCCAGGAAGGCACUCAGCAACAAAGCACCUGGAAAACCUACUAUACACGUUUGUUCAAAGACGCUUGUUUAAAAAGUGUAAUUUUUAUGGACCUGCUCUGACUAUAUCAAGACAACCAACCAUAAUGCUCUGCAGGAAAUCAGACCACCACUGCUUAGAGGCAUAACAUAUCAAGUUGUACACUUAAAUCUGCACAAGAGAUCCUUGAUCUCCAGCUUAAAUGAUGGAGAAUUGAUAAAUGCCUAUGUGAAACCUGCAAUAAACAGUCAGCUGGGUCAGAAAACAUAACAAGGAGAUAAAGGUUCUUACAAAUAAAGAUGUGCUUAAUUAACUUAUGAUUAUACAGUUCUCCAACAUCUUCUACUCUAAAGCAUAGAAACAUAACACAUUGUUAUUCAUUCCUGCCACCAUUCAACACAUAUCAAAUUAGCAUUCUAUUACAAGCAACAUCAAAUAUUUCUUUUCUUUUUGAAAUCUGCUUGAACAGAGGAAGAAAGCAAUACCAAAGCAAUGCCAAAAAGUGUACUACUGCAGGCAAUAUGUGGAGUUCCAUUCCCACCUGUAAAUGAAAAGCUUUUUGUUAAGCAGAUGUUUUAUGCUUGCAAGUAUCCCGUGGAUUCAGCAGUGCAUUCAAGUAUCACACAGACAUUCAACACACAAACAGCUGUCCAGUUUAGUUAGAAUGCUGUAAGGCAGAGCAUGGUCUCUUUAACAGUUACACAAUCAUUACUGAAAAAUAUUUGCCUUGCCACCUUUUAAAAUACCACAUUAAAAUGUAUUAUAUGAAAAAUAAUCCUGCAACCAUACAGUUAAACCUGCAAAAAGCACAUUAAAUAAAAGGAACUUUAUCGUACAGGAGUGAAUGGAAGUGUAAUUCUCAGUUCCCAGUUGGGUCAUUUUCUGAACUACUUUUUCAUGUGUGUCAAUGCCAGUCAUAUAUACGUGUGCUGGUCAUUUUCAUCUUCACACAAGCUACCUGAAUUAUUUGAUUUGUGUUCACUUUCAGCAACAGUGUUUGCAACUGUGAUUACACAUUUCCUGUUUCCAUACCAGAAGUCUGCCACAGUGGAAACAUCACUUUGCUUCAGACUGCCAUCUUUCAGUAAACACAGAAGCCCCAGUGCUACCUCUGCCCUAAUUCCACAUCUGUGUCUGAAAGAUGGAUCACAAAACUAUUUCACCUCUAGAUUACUGAGGUCUACGUUGAGAAAAACAGGAGACAACUGGCACAGUGAGGCACUGACCCGUUUUACUGUAUGCAUCCUUUGAAAAGGAUGGACCUAUUUUUAUAACAGAGAUGUAGAAGACUUCACACAUGAGAUUAAAAAGGUUAUUACACUACUAGCAAAGUAGCAAAUGAUGCACAUGUAUAAUGCAACUAGAAUUUAAAAUUAAAUAAAGACCUAGAAUUAGCAAUGUUGGCUAUUAAAUUUGUACUGCUUACAGAAUUCCUACAGCAUGAUAGGAAAACACAACAAAAAUAUUUCCUCAGCAGGAUAUAUGCACCAACAUGACCUGCUAGCUUCAGCUCCCUUGUGAGAUAUACAGAGACAAAUACGAAAACUAACAGCAACAUGUUACACUUGGAUUAGAAAAUCAGCUGUUUAGUCUAUUGAGGACUCAGUGGACUGAUAGAAAAGCUUAUUUUUUAAUUAAAGCAUUUUCCCUUGGGCCCUAUAUCAAGGCAGACAAUUUCUGAGAUAAAGAAGCUUGGGAAAUGUUGCAUCAAUUAAAAUUAUUAUUACAUAUGAUUUAAAAUGUAUUAUUUGGGGGUACAGUUGGCUAAUUCAAAGCACACAGUGGGUGAUCAGUUCAUUUUUCUGCUUAUUUGUACUCAGAGACAUCACUCAGCUUUAAUCUGAGAUUUUGUACCAGGAGCACUGAACAGACUGGGACAUAACAUAAGCAGUGGACUCAACCAUGCCAGUCAGUGGAGAGGCAGGUAUGAGGAGCCAGGGCACUCCUCCAAAAAAUUCAACACCAUAAUUCCAAAUACGCAGACAAAAACAGUAAUGACUAUCACUAGAUUUCUUGCACUCAAAGUAUACAUGACCUUGUAAACACCUCAUUAUCUGGGAACAAAACAGGAGUCAUUUCUUCACCCUCUGCCUCAAAUCAGUGUCCAAAUAAGCUGUUCACAGCAAACUGAAGCUCCCAUGCACACACUCAGGAAUGACUGAAAACGGGCUGAAUUCAACUGAAGGAUCCUAAUGGAACAAUUCAUGCUGCAGAUACACAUCAGUUUCAUCUCUACAUCAAAACAUUCUUUGAUUUAUUAUUGGUUUCUUUAAAUCACUUACAAUCUUUGUUGCUUUGGCAUAAUUUGCAUCUC